UGCUGAGUGUGUUCUCCUUCCAGGAAGGAUGGGCAGGGUCCUCGGGGUCCUCUGGCUCUUGGGGCUGGGCGGGCGGGAGGUGGCCCGCGGAUUGGGCAGCUCCAGACCCGGAACGAGGGAGCGGGCGAAGCAGGGAAACGACCCAGGGACAGGUACCGUGUUCGCCACCAAGAGGGGCUUCCUGAGGUCGGAGUACUGCUGUGGCCUCUCGCCCCUACACUGCUCUCUGAAUGGGACCCUGGUUCUGGAGCACACAGACCACGAUCUGUAGGUUCGUUCUAUUUCGGCAGAAGAAAAAGGCCAGAAAGCGUUCCAGUCCGAUUAGAGAAAGAGAUUUCAAGAGAUUUCGUCAGAAAUUUGUCCUUGCGAAGUUGGAAUUCCCCCACCUCCUCCACGCUGGCUUGCAUUAAUUAGGCGACUGAGACGUGUGCAGAGGGGACCCUGUUGCUCAUUCGUUCUCUAGGACCCAAAUCUGUAGUUAAUAGUAAGUGGACUUGCACCUUCAGUGGGUUCCGUUGGUGCCAGGUACCAAACUUGUUUUGAACGAUGUGCGCCAGUUACAGGCUGUGGGGAAUAAAAGCAUUAAAAUGAGACAUAGUUCAUUUACUCCUAAGUAAACAGGACCUUGGGGGCUUCCUGGUGUGGAGAAAAAGUGAAUCGUACCACUCCUUGGAAAACUACAUUUGACAAAAAAUGAUACCCUAAGUAUUUACUAUUAAAAUGAAAUUAAAACUAG
Molecule: long non-coding RNA, 736 nt
Filed under: Marmota monax (woodchuck)
Lineage: Eukaryota; Metazoa; Chordata; Mammalia; Rodentia; Sciuridae
Source: RNAcentral